This 185-nucleotide ribosomal RNA is filed under the name uncultured Bacteroidales bacterium. RNAcentral's name for it is "partial 16S ribosomal RNA". The record is from RNAcentral. Lineage: Bacteria; Pseudomonadati; Bacteroidota; Bacteroidia; Bacteroidales.
GGAGUCUGGUCCGUGUCUCAGUACCAGUGUGGGGGACCUUCCUCUCAGAACCCCUACGCAUCGUCGCCUUGGUGGGCCGUUACCCCGCCAACAAGCUAAUGCGCCGCAUGCCCAUCCCCUUCCGACAAAUCUUUCCCCGCAACAUCAUGCGAUCUCGCGGACUACGGGGCAUUAGGCCAAAAUUU